UCUCUCCCUCUCUCAUUCUCAUUCUCUCGUUUCCCUCAUUUUCUCUCUUUCUAGAAUUGGCCAGAAGUUUCACUGCACUUGUCGGAAAGCACUUUUCCACCAAAGUGCACUUCAUUCUCAAAUAAGAAGAAAUGGGCGGUGUUCGCGACAGUGAUGACGGAGGUGUAGCCAUCGAAGCUCUUCUGAAUCACUGCAUUCCAUCGCUACUCCAUCAAAUGGGCCAAAAUCUACUUCUGGUUGUAAUGUAAUUGUGCUUUUCUAUGUCUAUGUUGUACUGCCUAACUUCAUUGCCUAAAUAUUUCUCCAAUCCUCAUGUACUAUUUAACCGAAGAGAAAAUUUGGGAAAUAAAUUGACGCACGAUCCAUAAUCUCUGAAAAAAUCAGGUGUAAUUAUUGGAAAUUACCUAUGUGAUGGCUAUGGUGACAAAGCUAUCGUUGCCAUCAAUUGAUUGCCAUCAUGCCGUCGCCCAACCUUCGUUGUCGCCGUCAAAUUCUUGGGCAUUGUUUUGGGCUGUGGGAUCGAUUAGGUUAUGGGAGAAUUUUUGUUCAACCGUGUAGAUCUUCAGGUCUGAGGAGGAAAAUGGAGUGGGUGAGAAAGGGAAUAAUAGUGAAGAGAAUUUUGGGAAAAUUAAUGAAAGUGAUGUUGUGGAAGCUGAAAGAAAGUGUAAAUAAAUUUGUUGGAUAUGGUAGUAAUUGAUUUUUGGCAGAGGUAGUGGUUGGGGCUAUUUUUGUUGAAUUUGGUGGUGGUGGUUUUGGUUAUGGU
This 763-nucleotide long non-coding RNA is filed under the name Olea europaea (common olive). RNAcentral's name for it is "long non-coding RNA (OEUR_LNC013630)". The record is from RNAcentral. Lineage: Eukaryota; Viridiplantae; Streptophyta; Magnoliopsida; Lamiales; Oleaceae.